Molecule: ribosomal RNA, 406 nt
Filed under: uncultured bacterium
Lineage: Bacteria
Description: partial 16S ribosomal RNA
Rfam family: Bacterial small subunit ribosomal RNA
Source: RNAcentral
AUUGAACGCUGGCGGCAGGCCUCACACAUGCAAGUCGAACGAGUGGCGGACGGGUGAGUAACGCGUGGUAACCUGCCUCAUAGCGGGGGCUAACUAUUGGAAACGAUAGCUAAUACCGCAUACUGUGAGAUGGACCUGCGUUGUAUUAGGUAGUUGGGGAGGUAAAGGCUUACCAAGGCGACGAUCCCUAGCUGGUCUGAGAGGAUGACCAGCCACACUGGAACUGAGACACGGUCCAGACUCCUACGGGAGGCAGCAGUGGGGAAUAUUGCACAAUGGGCGCAAGCCUGAUGCAGCCAUGCCGCGUGUAUGAAGAAGGCCGUCGGGUUGUAAAGUACUUGCAGCGGGGAGGCGUUACCCGCAGAAGAAGCACCGGCUAACUCCGUGCCAGCAGCCGCGGUAAUAC